GCGCCUAUACAUGCAAGUCGAACGAGAAUGUGUAGCAAUACACAUGUAAAGUGGCGAACGGGUGAGGAUUACAUGGGUAACCUACCCUCGAGUGGGGAAUAACCAGCCGAAAGGUUGGCUAAUACCGCGUACGCUUCCGGAACUGCGGUUACGGAAGGAAAGCGAUACCGUGGGUAUCGCGCUCUUGGAUGGGCUCAUGCCCUAUCAGCUUGUUGGUGAGGUAACGGCUCACCAAGGCUUCGACGGGUAGCUGAUCUGAGAGGAUGAUCAGCCACACUGGCACUGCGACACGGGCCAGACUCCUACGGGAGGCAGCAGUAGGGAAUAUUGCGCAAUGGGCGAAAGCCUGACGCAGCGACGCCGCGUAAGGGAUGAAGGUCUUCGGAUUGUAAACCCCUUUCGGGAGGGAAGAUGGGAUGGGGUAACCCAUUCGGACGGUACCUCCAGAAGCAGCCACGGCUAACUUCGUGCCAGCAGCCGCGGUAAUAC
RNAcentral lists this ribosomal RNA (489 nucleotides) under uncultured Nitrospira sp. RNAcentral describes it as "bacterial SSU rRNA". It matches the Rfam family "Bacterial small subunit ribosomal RNA", at positions 44 to 526 of the family's 1533-position model. Lineage: Bacteria; Pseudomonadati; Nitrospirota; Nitrospiria; Nitrospirales; Nitrospiraceae. The record is from RNAcentral.